This 469-nucleotide ribosomal RNA is filed under the name uncultured bacterium. Its description in RNAcentral is "partial 16S ribosomal RNA". It matches the Rfam family "Bacterial small subunit ribosomal RNA", at positions 28 to 507 of the family's 1533-position model. The record is from RNAcentral.
GACGAACGCUGGCGGCGUGCUUAACACAUGCAAGUCGAACGGAAAGGCCCUGCUUGCAGGGUGCUCGAGUGGCGAACGGGUGAGUAACACGUGGGUGAUCUGCCCCUUACUUUGGGAUAAGCCUGGGAAACUGGGUCUAAUACUGGAUAGGACCAUGCUGUAGGUGGUGUGGUGGAAAGAUUAGUUUCGGUAAGGGAUGAGCUCGCGGCCUAUCAGCUUGUUGGUGGGGUAAUGGCCUACCAAGGCGUCGACGGGUAGCCGGCCUGAGAGGGUGGACGGCCACAUUGGGACUGAGAUACGGCCCAGAAUCCUACGGGAGGCAGCAGUGGGGAAUAUUGCACAAUGGGCGCAAGCCUGAUGCAGCGACGCCGCGUGGGGGAUGACGGCCUUCGGGUUGUAAACUCCUUUCAGCCAUGACGAAGCCCUUGUGGUGACGGUAGUGGUAGAAGAAGCACCGGCUAGCUACGUG